This 332-nucleotide ribosomal RNA is filed under the name uncultured eukaryote. Its description in RNAcentral is "partial 18S ribosomal RNA". It matches the Rfam family "Eukaryotic small subunit ribosomal RNA", at positions 1470 to 1796 of the family's 1831-position model. The record is from RNAcentral.
CCCUUAGAUGUCCUGGGCCGCACGCGCGCUACACUGAGUGUCUGAGAUACGAGUCUGCCUGGUCCGGCAAGGUCUAGGUAAUCGCUAAAAGACACAUCAUGCUUGGGAUAGAUUAUUGCAAAUAUUAAUCUUGAACGAGGAAUUCCUAGUAAGCGCAAGUCAACAGCUUGCGUUGAUUACGUCCCUGCCCUUUGUACACACCGCCCGUCGCUCCUACCGAUUGAAGUUUUCGGUGAGCUGGCAGGAGGAAUUUUUUGAAACUGGUUCGCUAGUGGAUUUUAGUUCCAAAUGCCAACGAAUCGAUGGCUUUAGAGGAAGGAGAAGUCGUAACA